UACGGAGGGGGCUAGCGUUGUUCGGAAUUACUGGGCGUAAAGCGCACGUAGGCGGAUAGUUAAGUCGGGGGUGAAAUCCCGGGGCUCAACCCCGGAACUGCCUUCGAUACUGGCUGUCUGGAGGUCGAGAGAGGUGAGUGGAAUUCCGAGUGUAGAGGUGAAAUUCGUAGAUAUUCGGAGGAACACCAGUGGCGAAGGCGGCUCACUGGCUCGAUACUGACGCUGAGGUGCGAAAGCGUGGGGAGCAAACAGG
Molecule: ribosomal RNA, 253 nt
Filed under: uncultured bacterium
Lineage: Bacteria
Also listed under: 1 other name
Description: partial 16S ribosomal RNA
Rfam family: Bacterial small subunit ribosomal RNA
Source: RNAcentral